This 442-nucleotide long non-coding RNA is filed under the name Manihot esculenta (cassava). RNAcentral's name for it is "long non-coding RNA (MESC_LNC006658)". The record is from RNAcentral. Lineage: Eukaryota; Viridiplantae; Streptophyta; Magnoliopsida; Malpighiales; Euphorbiaceae.
GGAUUUUUCCUAAUUGUGCUUGCCCUUUAUAACAUCUAUGAGCUUAACACCCUAAGUCCGACCAUAUAAACUUAGAGCUCUGAUACUACUCUGUAACGACUCGAGAACCGGACCGCUACCGGCGUUAGGAUUCAAAUCGACUUAAGGUUGCCGGAACCCGUAGUGAGCCUACUAUACAUCCUGUUACGCCUGAUAUAAUCCCAUACAUGAUUACACAAACAACAAAAAAUAUAAUCAUUAUAUGAACCAAGACUCGUCUUGUGCAUACAUCAUAAUUGAAAACAUAAAAACCAUACUAGAACCCUCAUCAACUGCUCCAAUAUGGUCAACAUAACACUCAAGUUCGGUUCAAACAUAACUUAUACUUAAAAAUUUUUACAUAAAAGAAUCAUGAAGCAAGGAUUGCAAGGAAGAAUCUGGGCAAAGCACAAUUAUGAUUCAC